GCAAGGUGGUCAUUGCAUGGCAUCGUGGCUAGCGUGGCGGCUCCAGCAUCAAGGUGAGUAAUCCCAUGGCUGAGCGAGCAGUGAGCACAAAGUCCAGCCCAUUGUUCUAGGCUCUGCCCUCAAGUGCAACUCGCUGGACUCGCUCAGGAAUUCACUGAACUCAACAGAUCCUGUUACCUGGACUGAGGAAGGAAUACAGUCUGCUACUAGCAGGUAACCAAUGGGUUUGAUUUGUCAGCUCGUGCAGCACAAACAUUUCCCAGUAUAUCAACUU
Molecule: long non-coding RNA, 274 nt
Filed under: Gallus gallus (chicken)
Lineage: Eukaryota; Metazoa; Chordata; Aves; Galliformes; Phasianidae
Description: long non-coding RNA NONGGAT005711
Source: RNAcentral